RNAcentral lists this ribosomal RNA (96 nucleotides) under uncultured Chlamydiales bacterium. RNAcentral's name for it is "partial 16S ribosomal RNA". It matches the Rfam family "Bacterial small subunit ribosomal RNA", at positions 364 to 459 of the family's 1533-position model. Lineage: Bacteria; Pseudomonadati; Chlamydiota; Chlamydiia; Chlamydiales. The record is from RNAcentral.
UUUCGCAAUGGGCGCAAGCCUGACGAAGCGACGCCGUGUGGAUGAUGACAGCUUUCGGGUUGUAAAGUCCUUUCGCUUGGGAGCAAGAGAAAUUAG